RNAcentral lists this ribosomal RNA (495 nucleotides) under uncultured bacterium. RNAcentral's name for it is "partial 16S ribosomal RNA". It matches the Rfam family "Bacterial small subunit ribosomal RNA", at positions 28 to 507 of the family's 1533-position model. The record is from RNAcentral.
GAUGAACGCUGGCGGCGGGCCUAAUACAUGCAAGUAGAACGCUGAAGGAGUAGCUUGCUCUUCUGGAUGAUUUGCGAACGGGUGAGUAACGCGUAGGUAACCUGCCUGGUAGCUGGGGAUAACUAUUGGAAACGAUAGCUAAUACCGCAUGACAACAGUUAUUGCAUUGUAACUGGGUAAAAGUGGCAACUGCUCCACUACCAUAUGCACCUGCGUUGUAUUAUCGAGUUGGUGAGGUAACGGCUCACCAAGGCGACGAUACAUAGCCGACCUGAGAGGGUGAUUGGCCCACCUGGGAAUGAGAAACGGCCCAGACUCCCAAGGGAGGCAGCAGUAGGGAAUCUUCGGACAAGGACGGAAGUCUGACCGCGCAAAGCCGCGGGAGUGAAGAAGGUUUUCGGAUCGUAAAGCUCUGUUGUAAGAGAAGAACGAGUGUGAGAGUGGAACGUUCACACUGUGACGGUAUCUUACCAGAAAGGGACGGCUAACUACGUG